GACGAACGCUGGCGGCGUGCUUAACACAUGCAAGUCGAACGGAAAGGCCCUGCUUUUGUGGGGUGCUCGAGUGGCGAACGGGUGAGUAGCACGUGAGUAACCUGCCCUUGACUUUGGGAUAACUUCAGGAAACUGGGGCUAAUACCGGAUAGGAGCUCCUGCUGCAUGGUGGGGGUUGGAAAGUUUCGGCGGUUGGGGAUGGACUCGCGGCUUAUCAGCUUGUUGGUGGGGUAGUGGCUUACCUAGGCUUUGACGGGUAGCCGGCCUGAGAGGGUGACCGGCCACAUUGGGACUGAGAUACGGCCCAGACUCCUACGGGAGGCAGCAGUGGGGAAUAUUGCACAAUGGGCGGAAGCCUGAUGCAGCAACGCCGCGUGCGGGAUGACGGCCUUCGGGUUGUAAACCGCUUUCGCCUGUGACGAAGCGUGAGUGACGGUAAUGGGUAAAGAAGCACCGGCUAACUACGUG
RNAcentral lists this ribosomal RNA (468 nucleotides) under uncultured bacterium. RNAcentral's name for it is "partial 16S ribosomal RNA". It matches the Rfam family "Bacterial small subunit ribosomal RNA", at positions 28 to 507 of the family's 1533-position model. The record is from RNAcentral.